Molecule: ribosomal RNA, 253 nt
Filed under: uncultured bacterium
Lineage: Bacteria
Description: partial 16S ribosomal RNA
Rfam family: Bacterial small subunit ribosomal RNA
Source: RNAcentral
UACGUAGGGUGCGAGCGUUAAUCGGAAUUACUGGGCGUAAAGCGUGCGCAGGCGGUUCGUCAAGUCUGAUGUGAAAGCCCCGGGCUCAACCUGGGAAUGGCAUUGGAAACUAGCGGGCUUGAGUGUGGCAGAGGGGGGUGGAAUUCCACGUGUAGCAGUGAAAUGCGUAGAGAUGUGGAGGAACACCGAUGGCGAAGGCGGCUCUCUGGACGGUGACUGACGCUGAGACGCGAAAGCGUGGGGAGCAAACAGG